RNAcentral lists this ribosomal RNA (463 nucleotides) under uncultured bacterium. RNAcentral describes it as "partial 16S ribosomal RNA". It matches the Rfam family "Bacterial small subunit ribosomal RNA", at positions 29 to 507 of the family's 1533-position model. The record is from RNAcentral.
ACGCACGCUGGCGGCGUGCUUAACCCCUGCAAGUCGAACGGAAAGGCCCAGCUUGCUGGGUGCUCGAGUGGCGAACGGGUGAGUAACACGUGGGUGAUCUGCCCCUAACUUCGGGAUAAGCUUGGGAAACUGGGUCUAAUACCGGAUAGGACAAUCGUUUAGUGUCGGUUGUGGAAAGUUUUUUCGGUUAGGGAUGAGCCCGCGGCCUAUCAGCUUGUUGGUGGGGUAAUGGCCUACCAAGGCGUCGACGGGUAGCCGGCCUGAGAGGGUGGACGGCCACAUUGGGACUGAGAUACGGCCCAGACUCCUACGGGAGGCAGCAGUGGGGAAUAUUGCACAAUGGGCGCAAGCCUGAUGCAGCGACGCCGCGUGGGGGAUGACGGCCUUCGGGUUGUAAACCUCUUUCGACAGGGACGAAGCUUUGGUGACGGUACCUGUAUAAGAAGCACCGGCUAACUACGUG